This 427-nucleotide ribosomal RNA is filed under the name uncultured bacterium. RNAcentral describes it as "bacterial SSU rRNA". It matches the Rfam family "Bacterial small subunit ribosomal RNA", at positions 355 to 774 of the family's 1533-position model. The record is from RNAcentral.
UGGGGAAUUUUGGACAAUGGGCGAAAGCCUGAUCCAGCAAUGCCGCGUGCAGGAUGAAGGCCUUCGGGUUGUAAACUGCUUUUGUACGGAACGAAAAAGCUUCUCCUAAUACGAGAGGCCCAUGACGGUACCGUAAGAAUAAGCACCGGCUAACUACGUGCCAGCAGCCGCGGUAAUACGUAGGGUGCGAGCGUUAAUCGGAAUUACUGGGCGUAAAGCGUGCGCAGGCGGUUAUGUAAGACAGAUGUGAAAUCCCCGGGCUCAACCUGGGACCUGCAUUUGUGACUGCAUAGCUAGAGUACGGCAGAGGGGGAUGGAAUUCCGCGUGUAGCAGUGAAAUGCGUAGAUAUGCGGAGGAACACCGAUAGCGAAGGCAAUCCCCUGGGCCUGUACUGACGCUCAUGCACGAAAGCGUGGGGAGCAAACA